CGAACGGGUGAGUAACACGUGAGGAACCUGCCCCGAAGACCGGGACAACACCGGGAAACCGGUGCUAAUACCGGAUACCUUCACCGGAUCGCAUGUUCUGGUGAAGAAAUGGAUUCCGCUUCGGGAUGGCCUCGCGGCCUAUCAGCUUGUUGGUGAGGUAACGGCUCACCAAGGCGACGACGGGUAGCUGGUCUGAGAGGAUGUCCAGCCACACUGGGACUGCGAACGGCCCAG
RNAcentral lists this ribosomal RNA (234 nucleotides) under uncultured bacterium. RNAcentral's name for it is "partial 16S ribosomal RNA". It matches the Rfam family "Bacterial small subunit ribosomal RNA", at positions 99 to 334 of the family's 1533-position model. The record is from RNAcentral.